RNAcentral lists this ribosomal RNA (253 nucleotides) under uncultured bacterium. RNAcentral's name for it is "partial 16S ribosomal RNA". It matches the Rfam family "Bacterial small subunit ribosomal RNA", at positions 524 to 776 of the family's 1533-position model. The record is from RNAcentral.
UACGGGGGGGGCAAGCGUUGUUCGGAAUUACUGGGCGUAAAGGGCUCGUAGGCGGCCAACUAAGUCAGACGUGAAAUCCCUCAGCUUAACUGGGGAACUGCGUCUGAUACUGGUUGGCUUGAGUGCAGGAGAGGAACGCGGAAUUCCAGGUGUAGCGGUGAAAUGCGCAGAUAUCAGGAGGAACACCAAUGGCGAAGGCAGCUCGCUGGGACGUGACUGACGCUGAGGCGCGAAAGCGUGGGGAGCGAACAGG